UAACCACGAGGAUUGCCAGAUCCAUCAGGAUGUUGUCCAGAUUGGUGACCACCAGAUGUUCCUGCUUCAUUGUCAUUGCUCCCAGCAGGGAAACCUUCAUCAGCAGGUCCAUGUAUUGUUGCAACAAGAAUCAUAGAAGAACAACAGACUCCAUCAAAGUUUCGAAAAAAAGACAGGGUGCACAAAGCGGUGAAUCAUGUAGCAAACUGUGCUGGAAGAUAUUUUUGUGAACACUGGAGGCAGUUACUAGAUAGGCUAGAUUUUGGGGUACUGCAAUCAAGGAUGUUAAUUUCCAUCCUAUAUACUAUCUAGAGAUUAUCUUCUGAUAUGCAACUCUAUCUUUCCUGGGAUGUUACUACAGAGGGAUAAGUCUGAUGCUUUACUUGUACUGCAAAUGGAAUUGGUUUUCUGUAA
Long non-coding RNA from Lolium rigidum, 414 nucleotides. RefSeq lists it as uncharacterized. The transcript is spliced from 2 exons. The record is from RefSeq and is a predicted model, not a curated record. Lineage: Eukaryota; Viridiplantae; Streptophyta; Magnoliopsida; Poales; Poaceae.